This 360-nucleotide long non-coding RNA is filed under the name Malus domestica (apple). Its description in RNAcentral is "long non-coding RNA (MDOM_LNC021237)". The record is from RNAcentral. Lineage: Eukaryota; Viridiplantae; Streptophyta; Magnoliopsida; Rosales; Rosaceae.
AACACUAAAAUAACUAAGGAAAUACAAUGUAAAUGCACAAGAACAAGCUAACUAAGUCGCAUAAAUAUACUCCUAUCAGUUAAUCUCCUAUGAUGUAACCAUUGCCAUAAGGGGUUGGAAAUUUCAUCAACAACAUAUGUAUGGAUACCAUGGCCUUGAGAUCAUUGAUGUCUGUGCGUCUGAUGCGUAAAAUAAGUUAACACACAAAAUUAAACCCUCUUUUUAUCAAAUGUAGUAAAGUAUGUAAGUAGGGAUCGUUCUAGGCCGGGGAUUAGGAGGGAUUGCUAAACACUUGAAAACUGACUUAAAUACAUAAAAACAAAAUUUAAAACACUAAACUAGACUCAAAGAAUGCAAAAC